GGUACGUUCGAUUAAUAUAUAUAUAUAUUUAUAUCUAUAUGUAUUAUACUGGCCGAUGGCACCCAUACCCAUGCUCUCUGAUUAGAAGGUGGAGGCAAGCGAGUGGACUGUUAUGUGCCAAUUGAGUUGGUAAAAGCCAUGCCAACGGGAUAAAAUGAGAUCUUGAAAAAAAAAAAUAAUAAUAAUAUCAGGCACAGAACGCAACAAAUUCACCGCAAGCGUGGACUUAACGGGCUAGUUCGUCGCCUUGUCCGGCCCCUUAUUCUGAUAUUAAUGUAUGUUCCUCAAUAAGGAGACAGAUGAACAGUUUUGUUAUACUUAUGCCACAACAUUCAUAUAAUGGUUUC
RNAcentral lists this small RNA (347 nucleotides) under Histoplasma capsulatum var. duboisii H88. RNAcentral's name for it is "Histoplasma capsulatum H88 hypothetical RNA". The record is from RNAcentral. Lineage: Eukaryota; Fungi; Ascomycota; Eurotiomycetes; Onygenales; Ajellomycetaceae.